Molecule: ribosomal RNA, 485 nt
Filed under: uncultured bacterium
Lineage: Bacteria
Description: partial 16S ribosomal RNA
Rfam family: Bacterial small subunit ribosomal RNA
Source: RNAcentral
GACGAACGCUGGCGGCGCGCCUAACACAUGCAAGUCGAGCGGGGUCUAUUGGAGUGCUUGCACUCUGGCAGACCUAGCGGCGGACGGGUGAGUAACACGUGAGCAACCUGCCUUACAGAGGGGGAUAACGACUGGAAACGGUCGCUAAUACCGCAUAACAUCAUCGUAUCGCAUGGUAUGGUGAUCAAAGGAGCAAUCCGCUGUAAGAUGGGCUCGCGCCCGAUUAGAUAGUUGGCGGGGUAACGGCCCACCAAGUCGACGAUCGGUAGCCGGACUGAGAGGUUGAUCGGCCACAUUGGGACUGAGACACGGCCCAGACUCCUACGGGAGGCAGCAGUGGGGGAUAUUGCACAAUGGGGGAAACCCUGAUGCAGCGACGCCGCGUGAGGGAAGAAGGUUUUCGGAUUGUAAACCUCUGUCUUUGGGGAAGAGUAGAAGACGGUACCCAAGGAGGAAGCCACGGCUAACUACGUGCCAGCCACCGC